UACGUUGACUGGCAGGUGUGUUCUGAGACAGAAGGAGUGGGAGGUUCGCCCCUGCAAGGCCCCAAGAAAGGAGAGUGCAAGUACAUGCAGGGAAGAGGCAGGAGGAAAGCCAGGUGGAGCUGCAGAGACUGAGGAGGACCACAGAGCAGAGCAGGGAGAGUUAAGUAGGACAGGACAGGUUGAGAUGCAGGUAUUACAGGUGUAAGUGCAGGUUUGAUUUGUCACUUCCUGUGGGUAGAAACACCAACAACACUAAAAUGUAAUUCAGGUAAAUAAGAGAAAUCAUUUGUGUCUUUGCUGGUUAGGGAUGUGAUGCUCUCCUUUGCUGGAGCUCCACUUUGUGCUUCAGGCUGAUAAGAGAGGUGUAUUCACAGGUAACAUCUUGCCAAGAGUGGCUUUAAGCGUCUAUCAAUACCUGAUUGACACAGUCUGGAUCCACUUGUUUCCUCCUGAGCUGGCAUCAGAGUCUGUCACGUUGCUCUCUAUGACGUGAUCUGUCUUAUUGAGACCCUGAGGGCUUCUCCUGUUGUCCUCCUGCCCGAAAACACAACCUCCCAGGUGGGCCGGCGGACACGCCCAGCUCCCUCACCGGGGUGUCACUGCAGCUCUGGGCAACAAAGCCCUCUGACUCCUUCAUCCCCCAGAGAAUUUCUCUCUCUCUCUGUCUGUCUCUCCUGCUCUCUUAUGAAACAAAUUAUUUUCUGUUGCUGAUGACUGAGGAACACAAGCCUGCUGUGUGAAUGCGUUCUUGUGUGAUUCACAGACAAUCAAUGCCUUCAGCUGUUGUUGUCGGUGCAUGUUGUGUCUUAGCAACGUUCGUCUUCAGACAUUUUUGCAUUGUUGUUAUUUUUCUAUUGUUUAUGGUCAAUUUUGCAAA
Thunnus maccoyii (southern bluefin tuna) is the source of this 877-nucleotide long non-coding RNA. RefSeq lists it as uncharacterized. Lineage: Eukaryota; Metazoa; Chordata; Actinopteri; Scombriformes; Scombridae. The transcript has 4 exons. The record is from RefSeq and is a predicted model, not a curated record.